UGGCGCUACACUGUCAAUCGUCUUCGUUGAUCCCUGUUUGUAAGGAAUGUCACGGAUUGUGAAAAUUCUUCCAAACUUCCAAGGCACUUGAAAAUUAAGCUGCCGAAUGUGACUGUGGUAUUUGUCGCGAGGGGGCAGUGCUGUCAGGUGUGUCUAAAAUGGCGGGUGUGCUGUUCGAGGAUAUUUUCAACGUGAAAGACAUCGAUCCAGAGGGGAAAAAGUUUGACAGAGUGAGCAGGCUCCACUGCGAGUCCGAGUCCUUCAAGAUGGAUUUGAUCCUGGACAUAAACAGCUGGCUCUACCCUAUGGAGAUCGGUGACAAAUUUCGUUUGGUACUCGCGACGACCUUGAGAGAGGAUGGUUAUCCUGACGGUGGGGAGUGGAACGCGACGGAACAGGAAGGUGGCUCCAGGGCAGAUAGUUUUGAGUACGUGAUGUCUGGUAAGGUUUACCGAAUCGAAGGUGACGAGGCUAGCAACGAACCCAGCAGCAGGCUGGUCGACCGUGUGGACGUUGUUCGAGGAGAAAAGAGAGGCGGUGGAAGGUGGCCUCCUAUAGUUCUCCCUCUCUUCAGUCCGACAGAGAGGCGAGUUCUGUGCGGAGCGUAGAGGCGAACCGUGUGCGUCGGAGGAGGACGAGGGAGAGAGCGAGAGAGGGUUAAGCCGGGACGGACGGAGGAGGAGAGGUGACGCGAGAGACAGGGACAAACGGGCCGCGACCGAGAAAACGACGCAGGAGCGCGCAGGUGCGCUUUCCUCGCGCGGUAUACCUUGUUGUUCUACGAGACAACGAGAGAUCUGCCUACGUGUCUUUCGGUGGACUUCUGAUGAGGCUACAGGGUGACGCGAACAAUCUACACGGCUUCGAGAUCGAUCAACACAU
Molecule: RNA transcript, 882 nt
Organism: Ceratina calcarata
Lineage: Eukaryota; Metazoa; Arthropoda; Insecta; Hymenoptera; Apidae
Gene: Rpb8
Gene name: DNA-directed RNA polymerases I, II, and III subunit Rpb8
Exons: 6
Source: RefSeq, a predicted model, not a curated record